CACUCCUACGGGAGGCAGCAGUGGGGAAUUUUGGACAAUGGGCGAAAGCCUGAUCCAGCAAUGCCGCGUGAGUGAAGAAGGCCUUCGGGUUGUAAAGCUCUUUUGUCAGGGAAGAAACGGUGAAAGCUAAUAUCUUUUGCUAAUGACGGUACCUGAAGAAUAAGCACCGGCUAACUACGUGCCAGCAGCCGCGGUAAUACGUAGGGUGCAAGCGUUAAUCGGAAUUACUGGGCGUAAAGCGUGCGCAGGCGGUUUUGUAAGUCUGAUGUGAAAUCCCCGGGCUCAACCUGGGAAUUGCAUUGGAGACUGCAAGGCUAGAAUCUGGCAGAGGGGGGUAGAAUUCCACGUGUAGCAGUGAAAUGCGUAGAUAUGUGGAGGAACACCGAUGGCGAAGGCAGCCCCCUGGGUCAAGAUUGACGCUCAUGCACGAAAGCGUGGGGAGCAAACAGGAUUAGAUACCCGGGUAGUCCCAUGAU
Molecule: ribosomal RNA, 476 nt
Filed under: uncultured organism
Description: partial 16S ribosomal RNA
Rfam family: Bacterial small subunit ribosomal RNA
Source: RNAcentral